AACGAACGCUGGCGGCGGGCCUAACACAUGCAAGUCGAACGCCCCGCAAGGGGAGUGGCGAACGGGUGAGUAACGCGUGGGAACCUACCCUUUGGUGCGGAAUAACUCCGGGAAACCGGCGCUAAUACCGCAUAAGCCCUACGGGGGAAAGAUUUAUCGCCGAAGGAUGGGCCCGCGUCGGAUUAGCUUGUUGGUGAGGUAAUGGCUCACCAAGGCGACGAUCCGUAGCUGGUCUGAGAGGAUGAUCAGCCACACUGGGACUGAGACACGGCCCAGACUCCUACGGGAGGCAGCAGUGGGGAAUAUUGGACAAUGGGCGCAAGCCUGAUCCAGCCAUGCCGCGUGGGUGAAGAAGGCCCUAGGGUUGUAAAGCCCUUUUGGCGGGGAAGAUAAUGACGGUACCCGCAGAAGAAGCCCCGGCUAACUUCGUGCCAGCCGCCGCAGUAA
This 447-nucleotide ribosomal RNA is filed under the name uncultured bacterium. RNAcentral describes it as "partial 16S ribosomal RNA". It matches the Rfam family "Bacterial small subunit ribosomal RNA", at positions 29 to 523 of the family's 1533-position model. The record is from RNAcentral.